RNAcentral lists this ribosomal RNA (1394 nucleotides) under uncultured bacterium. RNAcentral describes it as "bacterial SSU rRNA". It matches the Rfam family "Bacterial small subunit ribosomal RNA". The record is from RNAcentral.
AGAGUUUGAUCCUGGCUCAGAUUGAACGCUGGCGGCAGGCCUAACACAUGCAAGUCGAGCGGUAGCACAGAGAGCUUGCUCUCGGGUGACGAGCGGCGGACGGGUGAGUAAUGUCUGGGAAACUGCCUGAUGGAGGGGGAUAACUACUGGAAACGGUAGCUAAUACCGCAUAACGUCGCAAGACCAAAGUGGGGACCUUCGGGCCUCAUGCCAUCAGAUGUGCCCAGAUGGGAUUAGCUAGUAGGUGGGGUAACGGCUCACCUAGGCGACGAUCCCUAGCUGGUCUGAGAGGAUGACCAGCCACACUGGAACUGAGACACGGUCCAGACUCCUACGGGAGGCAGCAGUGGGGAAUAUUGCACAAUGGGCGCAAGCCUGAUGCAGCCAUGCCGCGUGUGUGAAGAAGGCCUUCGGGUUGUAAAGCACUUUCAGCGGGGAGGAAGGCGAUAAGGUUAAUAACCUCAUCGAUUGACGUUACCCGCAGAAGAAGCACCGGCUAACUCCGUGCCAGCAGCCGCGGUAAUACGGAGGGUGCAAGCGUUAAUCGAAAUUACUGGGCGUAAAGCGCACGCAGGCGGUCUGUCAAGUCGGAUGUGAAAUCCCCGGGCUUAACCUGGGAACUGCAUUCGAAACUGGCAGGCUAGAGUCUUGUAGAGGGGGGUAGAAUUCCAGGUGUAGCGGUGAAAUGCGUAGAGAUCUGGAGGAAUACCGGUGGCGAAGGCGGCCCCCUGGACAAAGACUGACGCUCAGGUGCGAAAGCGUGGGGAGCAAACAGGAUUAGAUACCCUGGUAGUCCACGCCGUAAACGAUGUCGAUUUGGAGGUUGUGCCCUUGAGGCGUGGCUUCCGGAGCUAACGCGUUAAAUCGACCGCCUGGGGAGUACGGCCGCAAGGUUAAAACUCAAAUGAAUUGACGGGGGCCCGCACAAGCGGUGGAGCAUGUGGUUUAAUUCGAUGCAACGCGAAGAACCUUACCUGGUCUUGACAUCUACAGAACUUUCCAGAGAUGGAUUGGUGCCUUCGGGAACUGUGAGACAGGUGCUGCAUGGCUGUCGUCAGCUCGUGUUGUGAAAUGUUGGGUUAAGUCCCGCAACGAGCGCAACCCUUAUCCUUUGUUGCCAGCGGUCCGGCCGGGAACUCAAAGGAGACUGCCAGUGAUAAACUGGAGGAAGGUGGGGAUGACGUCAAGUCAUCAUGGCCCUUACGACCAGGGCUACACACGUGCUACAAUGGCAUAUACAAAGAGAAGCGACCUCGCGAGAGCAAGCGGACCUCAUAAAGUAUGUCGUAGUCCGGAUUGGAGUCUGCAACUCGACUCCAUGAAGUCGGAAUCGCUAGUAAUCGUAGAUCAGGAUGCUACGGUGAAUACGUUCCCGGGCCUUGUACACUCCGCCC